RNAcentral lists this ribosomal RNA (492 nucleotides) under uncultured bacterium. RNAcentral's name for it is "partial 16S ribosomal RNA". It matches the Rfam family "Bacterial small subunit ribosomal RNA", at positions 29 to 507 of the family's 1533-position model. The record is from RNAcentral.
AGUGAACGCUGGCGGUAGGCCUAACACAUGCAAGUCGAACGGCAGCACAGUAAGAGCUUGCUCUUACGGGUGGCGAGUGGCGGACGGGUGAGGAAUACAUCGGAAUCUACUUUUUCGUGGGGGAUAACGUAGGGAAACUUACGCUAAUACCGCAUACGACCUACGGGUGAAAGCAGGGGAUCUUCGGACCUUGCGCGAUUGAAUGAGCCGAUGUCGGAUUAGCUAGUUGGCGGGGUAAAGGCCCACCAAGGCGACGAUCCGUAGCUGGUCCGAGAGGAUGAUCAGCCACACUGGAACUGAGACACGGUCCAGACUCCUACGGGAGGCAGCAGUGGUGAAUAUUGGACAAUGGGCGCAAGCCUGAUCCAGCCAUACCGCGUGGGUGAAGAAGGCCUUCGGGUUGUAAAGCCCUUUUGUUGGGAAAGAAAAGCAGCAGGUUAAUACCCCGCUGUUCUGACGGUACCCAAAGAAUAAGCACCGGCUAACUUCGUG